RNAcentral lists this ribosomal RNA (422 nucleotides) under uncultured bacterium. RNAcentral's name for it is "bacterial SSU rRNA". It matches the Rfam family "Bacterial small subunit ribosomal RNA", at positions 362 to 776 of the family's 1533-position model. The record is from RNAcentral.
UAUUGGACAAUGGGCGCAAGCCUGAUCCAGCCAUGCCGCGUGGGUGAAGAAGGCCUUCGGGUUGUAAAGCCCUUUUGUUGGGAAAGAAAUCGUGCGGGUUAAUACCCCGCGCGGAUGACGGUACCCAAAGAAUAAGCACCGGCUAACUUCGUGCCAGCAGCCGCGGUAAUACGAAGGGUGCAAGCGUUACUCGGAAUGACUGGGCGUAAAGCGUGCGUAGGCGGUUUGUUAAGUCCGUUGUGAAAGCCCUGGGCUCAACCUGGGAAUUGCAGUGGAUACUGGCAAGCUAGAGUGCGGUAGAGGAUGGUGGAAUUCCCGGUGUAGCGGUGAAAUGCGUAGAGAUCGGGAGGAACACCCGUGGCGAAGGCGGCCAUCUGGACCAGCACUGACGCUGAGGCACGAAAGCGUGGGGAGCAAACAGG